Molecule: ribosomal RNA, 582 nt
Filed under: Salmonella enterica
Lineage: Bacteria; Pseudomonadati; Pseudomonadota; Gammaproteobacteria; Enterobacterales; Enterobacteriaceae
Description: partial 23S ribosomal RNA
Rfam family: Bacterial large subunit ribosomal RNA (bases 89-582)
Source: RNAcentral
CCACCACUAAGCCAGUGGUGAACUCCACAUACGCAUCCUUUGCUGAGGAUACGGUUAACGGAGCGCAAGCGACGUUCAACCUCAAAAGAAGCAGAGGGGGCUUAGUGGUGGGGUGACUGCGUACCUUUUGUAUAAUGGGUCAGCGACUUAUAUUCUGUAGCAAGGUUAACCGAAUAGGGGAGCCGGAGGGAAACCGAGUCUUAAUUGGGCGUUAAGUUGCAGGGUAUAGACCCGAAACCCGGUGAUCUAGCCAUGGGCAGGUUGAAGGUUGGGUAACACUAACUGGAGGACCGAACCGGCUAAUGUUGAAAAAUUAGCGGAUGACCUGUGGCUGGGGGUGAAAGGCCAAUCAAACCGGGAGAUAGCUGGUUCUCCCCGAAAGCUAUUUAGGUAGCGCCUCGUGAAUUCAUCUCCGGGGGUAGAGCACUGUUUCGGCUAGGGGGCCAUCCCGGCUUACCAACCCGAUGCAAACUGCGAAUACCGGAGAAUGCUAUCACGGGAGACACACGGCGGGUGCUAACGUCCGUCGUGAAGAGGGAAACAACCCAGACCGCCAGCUAAGGUCCCAAAGUCAUGGUUAAG